AACCAAGAAAUUUAGUCAUUCUUUUACGGUAAAAAGACAGUUAAGCAGGGUAUAAAUUAUAAGAUCUUUAGUAAAGGAGUAAAAUCUAAAUACUGAAAGUUAUACCAGACAUAAUUUAUUUUAGAUGCUGAAUCUGUGACAACUUUAAGGGAAACUGGGAUUGGAUACCCCAUUAUUUUUAGUCGUAAAUUAGUUUAGGCUUACCAGAGUACUACGAAUAAAAAGUUUAAAACUCAAAGGGCUUGGCGGUGUUUUAGACCUCUCAGGGGAACCUGUCUCAUAAUCGACAAUCCACGUUAGACCUGACCCUUUAUGGCAAUUCAGUCUGUAUACCGUCGUCGUCAGGUAACUUCUAAAAAUAUAGUAGUUAGCUCGAUAAUUAUAUUAAUUAAAACGUCAGAUCAAGGUGCAGCUAAUAAAAGGGGGAGGAUGGGUUACAGUUAUAUAUUUAUAAUUACGGAGAAAACUUGAAAUGAAGUAGUUAGAAGGAGGACUUGAAAGUAAUUUUAAUUAUAUAAGUAGAAUGAAUAAGGCUCUGAAACGUGC
This 546-nucleotide ribosomal RNA is filed under the name Conus chiangi. RNAcentral's name for it is "partial 12S ribosomal RNA". Lineage: Eukaryota; Metazoa; Mollusca; Gastropoda; Neogastropoda; Conidae. The record is from RNAcentral.